AAGUCGUAACAAGGUAACCGUAGGUGAACCUGCGGUUGGAUCAUUAACAAUGCAAUCAGGCUACCCUGGUCGAGCUUUUCAAGUUCUCAGGAUCCUGAUAUAUUGCUACCCAUUCUCUGUGCACCGUAAACUGUCUCUGGCGGUCGUAGGAGUAACUAAGAAAUCUUUAGUUGCUUCUCUAGUUCAUUUGCCCGUAAGGAAAGCAGAUGAAUGAAGCCGCCAAACGGGUUUAAAACACUCUUGUAUUUGUUUUAUUUUUAUUAUUUUUUUUUGUCUGAGACAAAAGUGCCAUUUUUGGUAUGGCAAAAAAUGCGCUUUCAUAAACAACUUUUGGCAACGGAUCUCUUGGCUCUC
This 354-nucleotide unclassified non-coding RNA is filed under the name fungal sp. Its description in RNAcentral is "partial internal transcribed spacer region". The stretch from base 1 to 46 matches the Rfam family "Eukaryotic small subunit ribosomal RNA", at positions 1786 to 1831 of the family's 1831-position model. Lineage: Eukaryota; Fungi. The record is from RNAcentral.